GAUGAAGAACGUAGCGAAAUGCGAUAAGUAAUGUGAAUUGCAGAAUUCAGUGAAUCAUCGAAUCUUUGAACGCACAUUGCGCCCGCCAGUAUUCUGGCGGGCAUGCCUGUUCGAGCGUCAUUUCAACCAUCAAGCCCCCGGGCUUGUGUUGGGGACCUGCGGCUGCCGCAGGCCCUGAAAAGCAGUGGCGGGCUCGCUGUCACACCGAGCGCAGUAGAUUUUAUCUCGCUCUGGGCGUGCUGCGGGUUCCGGCCGUUAAACCACCCUUUUAACCCAAGGUUGACCUCGGAUCAGGUAGGAAGACCCGCUGAACUUAAGCAUAUCAAUAAGCGGAGGA
Molecule: unclassified non-coding RNA, 337 nt
Filed under: soil metagenome
Description: partial contains 5.8S ribosomal RNA, internal transcribed spacer 2, and large subunit ribosomal RNA
Rfam family: 5.8S ribosomal RNA (bases 1-120)
Source: RNAcentral